RNAcentral lists this ribosomal RNA (1351 nucleotides) under uncultured bacterium. Its description in RNAcentral is "bacterial SSU rRNA". It matches the Rfam family "Bacterial small subunit ribosomal RNA", at positions 8 to 1367 of the family's 1533-position model. The record is from RNAcentral.
AGAGUUUGAUCCUGGCUCAGGAUGAACGCUGGCGGCGUGCUUAACACAUGCAAGUCGAACGAAGCACUUUAUUUGAUUUCUUCGGAAUGAUUAUUUUGUGACUGAGUGGCGGACGGGUGAGUAACGCGUGGGUAACCUGCCUCAUACAGGGGGAUAACAGUUGGAAACGACUGCUAAUACCGCAUAAGCGCACAGCAUCGCAUGAUGCCGUGUGAAAAACUCCGGUGGUAUGAGAUGGACCCGCGUCUGAUUAGUUAGUUGGCGGGGUAACGGCCCACCAAGACCGCGAUCAGUAGCCGACCUGAGAGGGUGACCGGCCACAUUGGGACUGAGACACGGCCCAAACUCCUACGGGAGGCAGCAGUGGGGAAUAUUGCACAAUGGGGGAAACCCUGAUGCAGCGACGCCGCGUGAGCGAUGAAGUAUUUCGGUAUGUAAAGCUCUAUCAGCAGGGAAGAAAAAAUGACGGUACCUGACUAAGAAGCACCGGCUAAAUACGUGCCAGCAGCCGCGGUAAUACGUAGGUGGCGAGCGUUAUCCGGAAUGAUUGGGCGUAAAGGGUGCGUAGGUGGCAGAUCAAGUCUGGAGUAAAAGGUAUGGGCUCAACCCGUACUUGCUCUGGAAACUGGUCAGCUAGAGAACAGAAGAGGGCGGCGGAACUCCAUGUGUAGCGGUAAAAUGCGUAGAUAUAUGGAAGAACACCGGUGGCGAAGGCGGCCGUCUGGUCUGGAUUCUGACACUGAAGCACGAAAGCGUGGGGAGCAAAUAGGAUUAGAUACCCUAGUAGUCCACGCCGUAAACGAUGAGAACUAGGUGUUGGGGGAAUAACUCAGUGCCGCAGUUAACGCAAUAAGUUCUCCGCCUGGGGAGUAUGCACGCAAGUGUGAAACUCAAAGGAAUUGACGGGGGCCCGCACAAGCGGUGGAGUAUGUGGUUUAAUUCGAAGCAACGCGAAGAACCUUACCAGGCCUUGACAUCCCUUGCAGAGGUAUAGAGAUAUAUCCGAGGUUAUCAAGGAGACAGGUGGUGCAUGGUUGUCGUCAGCUCGUGUCGUGAGAUGUUGGGUUAAGUCCCGCAACGAGCGCAACCCUUGUGAUAUGUUACUAACAUUGAGUUGAGGACUCAUAUCAGACUGCCGGUGAUAAACCGGAGGAAGGUGGGGAUGACGUCAAAUCAUCAUGCCCCUUAUGGCCUGGGCUACACACGUACUACAAUGGCGUCUACAAAGAGCGGCAAGCCUGUGAAGGCAAGCGAAUCUCAUAAAGGACGUCUCAGUUCGGAUUGAAGUCUGCAACCCGACUUCAUGAAGCUGGAAUCGCUAGUAAUCGCGAAUCAGCAUGUCGCGGUGAAU